Molecule: long non-coding RNA, 4538 nt
Organism: Monodelphis domestica (gray short-tailed opossum)
Lineage: Eukaryota; Metazoa; Chordata; Mammalia; Didelphimorphia; Didelphidae
Source: Ensembl
GGGAGAUCCAGAGAACCCCACAGGCCUUCCAGGGCUGGCUGCCGUGUGUCCAGGAAUGUCCAAGCAGUGGGUCAUCUGCAGAGAUCUGAGCAACGAUGGGAUCCAGGCAAGGCUCCAGGGGACCUCUGGGAGCAGGGCCGGCCUCCGUGGGCUCAUUCAGCCUUGCUCCAUAUCUAAAGUGCCUUGUUGACUCUAAGGUGUCCUGUGUGAAGGGAGUGAUUGUGGAAUGGCACCGUCUGCACACUCACCAAUAACCACUUACCGGAUUCUCUGAACGUUGCCCCGCCACUCCCCACUCAGGAAAUUAGGCACGAAGGAGCUUCUUGUUCCAAAGUCCUGAUUUCGCUGGACACUCACUAGGAAGAUGCCACCCCAUCCUGGUCAGUCACCAUGGCUUGUGGGCCAGUAUGAAACAAACGUCUUCCCACUUUUCCGACAAACCAUUCUGCAGCCAUCUUCCACUUGUCCGCUAGAGGGCACCUGCGCUCCACUUCCGAACUAACCUAAACUCCCAAUGGACAUGAUCUUUGGAGCUGAACCCUGGACCGGAAGUUACCUCAGAGCUUCCCUGCAGAGAGGUGGAGAGAGCCAGAGACAGAAAAGAGAUUCAGAGAGGAGAGAAAAAAGAUUGAGAGAAAGAGGAGAGCGGAGAGACACCCACAAACUAACAGAGACAGAGACAGAGAAAGAAAGGGACACACAGAGAGAAUCGAUUGAGAGGAAUCCCCAAAGAGACAGAAAUCCAUCCUGCUUUGAAAGUUGGAUCCAAGCCAUUUCUCCCAAGUUCCACAGAAAAAUAAAACAUAGUUCUAAAGCCCAAGGGAAAGUUUCCUUAACACUUUGGAUUCUCCAGUCACAUAACUUUUGGUGCACUUGGAAGAAUCUUUCCCUAAAGUCAUCCAACUUCCCUUCAAUCACAUACGAGGAUUCCAAAGGUGAACUCAAGAGAUGCUUCCCUGAAUGGAACCAAAUCUCAGGUUUCUCCCUUUAUUCAGUGGAAUCGUGAGCCCAAUCACUCCGGGGAGAAGUCUUGCCUGGACUGCCUGAGCAUCUCAGAAACUGGUGAGGCCGAUAAAAAUGGCUCUGAAAGACUUCAGGGCCGGACAUUGUUUUCUAUUUGAUACUUAAAGACAAAUAAGACUUCUUAUUCAGGUGGGAACAAGGCCUUGAGAAUAAUUAUUGUCUGCAAUAUUAGCCAAUGAACAGAUAGUUAGUAGAUAACUCCCAUGUUCCAGGAGUGUGCCAGUGUCCGAAACACAGAUGUGAAGAAUGAAAGGAUCUCUGCUCACAAUAAGCCUACACAGUUAAAGAGGGAAUUGGAGCUUUAAGGUAUUUCCAAGUAGCUACCGAGGUACAUGUUGUCUUCCCCAUUAAAAUAGAAGUUCCUGGAGAGCUGAGGCCAUUUUUGCCUUUCUUUGUGUACCAGCUCUUGGCACAGAGCCUGGCACAUGGGAAAUGCUUAGAUGAUGAUUUCCGACUGACUUCCCUAGAGCUGAAAUGAGAAUCUCUUGGAAUGAUCGGAUCACUCCUUAUCUUCCCCUUUUAUUAGCCAUGCCCAGGACCUCUCCACUCCUGCCUGGGGGAUUCAAAGGCAGCUCUGCUCUCGUACCUUACUCGGAGACAAAAAUGAACUUCUGCUCUGGGUUCAGUUCUGCCAUCAUUUAUCAAAUUCCUGCUUAUGCCAAUCCCAGAGCUCAGCAUUAGAGAGUCAAAGACAUGCCCUCAAGGAGGUUACAUUCUCCUGGGGGGACACAAUGUCCAAGGUAUUUAUGUACAUACAAUGUCUAUGUUGACCUUCAUGUGCUCAUUCCCUGUUUGGUCUUACCAUUCUAUAUUUGGUUGAGAAAAUUAAUAAGGAGUAAUUAGGUGGCCCAAAGGAUAGAGAGCCAGGACUAGAGAUGGGGGGUCCUGGGUUCAAAACUGGCCUUAGAUAUUUCCUAGUGUGACCCUGGGCAAGUCACUUAUCCCCAGUCACUUAGCUUUUACCAUUCUUCUGCCUUAGAACCAAUACUUAGAUUUGAUUCUAAGAUAGAAGGUGAGGGUUUAAAAAAUAGCAUUUAUGUUGUGCUUUAAAGUUUCCAAAAAGACUUUACAAAUACAGAAGAUCCCACUUAAAAUGUCACCAAGACUUUUGGGACACCCCUAUUAAAAUUUUUUUUUAUUGAUCAAUUAAUUUAGAACAUUUUUCUAUGGUUAUAUGAUUCAUGUUCUUUCCCUCCCCUCUUCCCUUACCUCCUCUCUGAGCUAAUCAGCAAUUCCACUGGGUUUUACAUGUGUCAUUGUUCAAAACCUAGUUUCAUAUCAUUAAUAUUUACAGUAGAAUGAUCAUUUAAAGUCAACAUCCCCAUUCAUAUACCUGUUGAACCAUGUGUUCAAUCAUAUGUUUUUCUUUUGCGUUUCUACUCCCACGGUUCUUUCUCUGGAUGUGGAUAGUGUUCUUUCUCAUAAAUUCCUUGGGAUAUAUGCCCCUAUUAUCUCAUUUUAUUUUUACAACAACCCUGUGAUAGGAGCUAUGAUUAUUCUCAUUUUACAGAUGAAACAAAGUGCAGAAAGGUAACUUGAGGCACAGAAGGUUUGUUCCCCAGGAUCCCACAGCUGGUAAGUGGCUGAGGCCAGAUUUAAACUCCAGGCGUUCUGACUCCAGGCCCAGCAAUCUCUCCACUGCUCCACCUACCUACCACUCACUUUAUAAAUACAAAAUAUGCUCAAAGCAAAUACAAAAAAUUAUGGAGUUUGGAGGAAAAAGAGGAUCAGGAGAGGCCUUUUGAAGGAAGUGACUCCAUCUGAGUCCUAUAGGGAGCUGGGAAUUUCAAGAACUAAAAGAUGCAAUGAAAGAGAUGAACAGUAAGAGUAUGUGAGGGGAGAAAAUGAAAUAUCUUAUAAGAGAGGUGGGAGCCAAAUAGUGUAUGGCUUUAAGGAUUAAGCAAAGGAACUUGUAUUUUAUCCUGGGGCAGUAAGGAAACUUCUGGAGUACAGAAGUGACAUUGAUCAGGUUUGUGCUUCAGAAAUUCCAAUAUGGCAUUUGUGGGAUGAACAGGUCAGAGAAGGGAGAAUUAGAACUAUGGGAAAGCAUUUGGGACCAAGACAGUUUGUUCAGAUGGAUAUUUUACUUCAGUACCAAAGUCCAACACUCUUUAUUUCAAUGAAAAAAGCUUAUAUUCUCUGAGACGGGAAUUUGGCCCUCAUGGUGGAGAGAAAUAAGAAGGGAGGCAGAGAUCUGAAUUUUAUCCUUUAUAUGUUGUCCACAGUAGCAGGCACUAAAUCAUGUUUGUUUGUUUGUUUGUUUUUCCCACUGAGGAAGGAAAGCAAUAGAGCAGCCUUGUAUGUGAGUUCUUAUUUUGUACUUUAAAUGUCCCCCUUGUUUCCUCUCCCCACCACCCAAGGUUUUCUUUGUCUUCUUCAAAACUCUUACCUUCUUUCUGUCUUUGACCUGAUAGUAUCAGUUUAGUAACAACUAGGCAAUUGGAGUUGUGACUUGCUCAGGGUUAUGAUAGCUAGGAAAUGUCUGAGGCCAGAGUUGAAUCCAGAAUCUCCUUCUCCAUGUCUGGCUCUCUAUCCACUGAGCCAUCUAGCUGCUCCACUCCCUUUCAAGGUUUUCUUGAUGCCUUUUGCUUAGCAUCAGUCUCAUUGUUAUCCCUUCUUCUAAUUUUAUGUUUAUCUUGACCUUCUUUUGACAAGUCAAUAGUCUGGCUAUACCCAAAUGGCUAAAAGAAGAAAUGACUCACACCAAUAACCGGUUAGUUGUUUCUGAUCUGAUCUGAAUCAGUUCCACUAAUAUCUCUCUCCCAGGCUCUUCAUCAGCAUUUGUGCCGAAGUUGUGCUGGGUUCUCCAAAGCAUUUCCAGCAGAGCCAGAAGGAUUUUGAGUGAAGGCUCCACCCCUGGAUUGCAUGUGUGUUGUGUGAACAUCCUCCUAGUUCAGUUCUGAGAGUCUCAUUAUCAGCUUGUUAGCAGGAUGCUGAAUUUCUCUACUAACAGGGCAUUUGUAAUCUGAGCCAGCAGAGGGCAAACCACCCUGAUGCAAUCAAAGAAUCUUGAGGGAUGGAGGCAGAAUUGAGGCUCUUUUAUUGUGGGGGAUGUUGGGAUGCUCAUGGUCAUGGCAUACAGAUGGACCUGAGGAUGCAAGAGUUCACAGCCCUUUGGGUCCUUUCACCUCGUAAUCCUGAAACUUUGCAGCCUAAUUUUUUGGUCAUCCUACUUAUACCAACCCUGGCUUUGAAGUCACUGAGGAUCAAGCUAUAUAGUGACUUAGCUUGGAAGAUCUUGACAAAUUCUUCAUUGAAGUUCUCCACUUUAUCCAACAAAUCAAUCAAUUAAUAAGCAUUUAUUAAGUCCCUACAUGCAUCUGGGGCACUGUCCUGGGCACUGGGAGUUCUCAUUUCACAAAAAUGAAACAGUUCCUCAUCUUAGGGACCUUUGCACUCUUGGGGGUGUGUAAUUAGAAUCAGUACCUGUGGAUGCGGAGUUUUUGAGCAGGUAGAAAAACUUGGUCACGUGGUUGUAUUUUGUCAGAUAAUAAACUUUAUAAAAAUACUCGAAA